RNAcentral lists this long non-coding RNA (2223 nucleotides) under Gallus gallus (chicken). Lineage: Eukaryota; Metazoa; Chordata; Aves; Galliformes; Phasianidae. The record is from RNAcentral.
UACAGCAUCUGGAAGAGUAAAAAAGUGAUAGGUAGGAAAAAAAAAGAGAAAAGCUCCUCUGAACUCGAAGGGAUGAUUAUGCAAAGCUUUAUCACUGCUGCCUCGGAGAACAGGCCUGGAGGAGGGGCUGGAGAGAGCUUCACAGCUUAACUUCACCCAUGCUUUGUUCUGAAUGUGUUGUACAGUUACAACUGGUACUUAACCAUCAUUACCUAUUUUAUAUACAGGAACAGGCACUGUGAAUAAGUACGGAGGUCAUUUGUUUUUUUGAGUUGCAAUCUCUUUAUUUUCUGUGAGUCAAGUGGUCUGAGUCAGUGCAGUCAUGCUCUCCUCUAUUUCUGUGAGUUUCUUCAGCAUCUGGCUCACCUUGGCCUCAUCAAACUCCAGGCAUAGAAAUUCAGAUUCCUGACCAUAUUUUCCCAGCUCCAUUUCAACUAUUGCAACUGGAGUAUUUAUCUGAUCAACAUGUCUUGACUGUGACUUCAAAUCCACUCUCCAGUUCAUGUUUUUCAAGACGUUAUCCCAGCAGCUUUGAUUUACCAGGCUCUCACGAAUCUUCACUCGGUGGUUUUUCCAAAAUUUGGCAAUGACUGCAGCUUGAUCUGACGUGAUGCCACCUUGCUUUUUUGUUUGGGCAGUGAGAAAAGCUUCCAGCUGAUUCAAAUCCAUGUCAGCUGAAGCAAUUGACUGCAGCAGGCCGCCCAUCUUGGCGCGCAGGGCGCGGAACUCCUCCGGCGCCGCCUCGGGGUAGAGCUGCCCGCGCAGCAGCUCCUCCGUGAUGUCGGCCUUGCCGUAGUAGGCGGCCUGCGCGAUGCCGCCCAGCAACGCGCUCAGCGCCUUGCCGCCAUCGACCGCCGGCGGCUGCUGCUCGGCCGCCGCCAUCUUGGAGGGGCGGCCCCGCGCCUCAGUCCCCGCCUCGCGAAGGGCCGCCGCCGCGCCGCCUCGCUGGGCUCGGCCCGGCUGGGGCAGGCCUGGGCGCUGGGACUGGAAGCGUAUUUUUAAGCUUUAAAGCAACUGGAGACGCAGGAGGUGAAGUUUGCUUCAAUCAGAUGAACUGCCGGGAGCUCUGCGGGCACCCACCUCCUGCUUCUGAGCAAAAUGCCAAAAACCUCAGAGAAACCCUCCGAAGGCAGCGUAUGGAACCAAAACAGAGUUCAUGUUUAGUCUUCGAGAAUGAGAUACAGAAUGAAUUCAUGACUUAAGUGCAGAAGGCAGGCACUGAGUCCUUAAGAGGGCCUCCAUAGAGCAUGCAAAGCUGCUGAAGCCACGCUGCUGAAACCAGCACAUUUGCUACUGUAAAAGACAAAUAGUGGAAGCAAUGAUCUGUGUUAAGCGCCUUCCAGCAGCUCUGUGCAUUUUUUAGUUGUAUAUGCCUCAUCUGAACAGGCAAGCAAAACAAAUACCGCUCCCCACAUUGAAUCUCCACUGGAGAGCAGAAACUGGUUUGGAUAAAAGGAAGUGGGGAAGGCAGGGGUAAGAGAAGAGCAGGCAAUAUAUGCUGCCUGAACUGCAGAACUGCUAUGCAUGGCCCCGUAUCACUACUAGCUACAGACACCACUUGACACGAGGGUGGCACUACCCCUCAGAACUCUUCCUUGCAAUCCCGUCCUAGGAAAAAGCAGCUUGCUGGGGUGGUGAUCUGGUACAGCCUUGAACAGCACACUGCUCAUGAGCCAGAGUAACUGUGCAAAGGACAGCAGUAACCCAGGCAGGGGGAUCGGCGAUAGCCCGGGUCGCUUUACACAACAUCCUUUUGCUGCCCAGAACUGCUGUCAUCACUUUCACAUCUCUUUUGGGCAGUAGCAACAACUUCUGGCUAAAAGGAUUUGGAGAAAGGGAUACAUUGCCAGGAGAUUUCCCCAAAACAACCAGAAAUAGGUUUUUCCGAGGAAAAAGAAUGUUCCUGUUAUUGCCUAAAAUAUAAAAGCAGUUCAUUUACCUCCUGCUGACUCAGAGUUUUAGCAGUAUCUUCUUUCUUCUAAUGAGGACUGAGGCUGUAUUAAGUCACUGAAGCUCCUUGCCAGUUGGCCUUACCACAUAGAAGCAGCACUACAACAGCCACUCAUGCUGACCCAGCAGAUGCAUCCUGCCUCAGGUGGGUGAGAGGGGAUCUGCUGAGAAGGCAGGUGAGGGCACAGGAACACAGCAGCCUCACGUGCAGUCAAACAGCCUCUCCUCACACCUGUAACAGGGCAGUACCUACUGACAGUUCUUCAGUCCAGC